ACUAGGCAACCGCAGCCAGUGGCGCCCGAGGUCGGCGCGAGAAAAAAGUCUUUUGAGCUUUUGGAGCCGCCGUCGUCGUUAUUAGCACCACGUUCAAAGAACAAGACAGAAGGCGGGCAAUGAGAAGCUCGGCGAAGGUAAGGAUGGCUGUCCAGCGGGAUCAAAUCAGGUUCAGUUCGGGCUAAUCUUAGUACAUGCUGCUGCCUCAACUCUGGGAUGGAGUACAUAAACAGCUCCACUGAAUCUGGGACCACUUCAGAACUGCAAUGCCAGACUGGUACAGGAUUACAGUAACUGUGUAGAUGAGCUCUUAGUUGGUAUAAAAGUUCCUUUUAACAAAAACCAACACAUGUAACAACAUUUAACACAGGGAAGGUUCUGUGCCUCCUUUGGAUAUUGAGCUAGUUUCCCACCAUCCUUCACCAUUGGUUGUGCUGACAAGGAUUUUUGGAAGUUGCAAUACAUGCUUAUUGGAGGGUAUGCAAAAUAUCCAACCCCUGUUUGAUAAGAUCAGUUGCUUGUCAGUGAACGACAACAACAAAUGUAUAAAGACAAAUGAGGGAAAGGUGCGCUUUGUUUCACAGCAGCACCCCAACAUCUCCUUGAAUGGCAUAUGAAAACAUUGAAAGUCAACAAACUAAAGAUUAAGUUAUUUGUGAAUCGAGAUGUAAAUGUCUAAUUUGGUACAGUAGAGUCUCACUUAUACAACAUAAACGGGCCAGUAGAAUGUUGGAUAAGUGAAAAUGUUGGAUAAUAAGGAAGGAUUAAGGAAAAGCCUAUUAAAUGUCAAAUUACGUUAUGGUUUUACAAAUGAAGCACCAAAAUAUCAUGUUUUACAACAAAUUGAUAAAGCAGUUUAAUAUACAGUAACGUUAUGUAGUAAUUACUGUAUUUACAAAUUUAGCACCAAAACAUCGCAAUAUAUUGAAAACAUUGACUACUAAAAGGCAGACUGCGUUGGAUAAUCCAGAACGUUGGAUAAGCGAAUGUUGGAUAAGUGAGACUCUACUGUACUUUAUUAUUCUAAUAAAGCUUUUGCUAGUCUUAUAGGCAGUAAUGCAAACAUUCCACUAGAUGGCACUUUGUCAUCACUUGCAAAAAGCAGGAGAGCAAGGACAAUUUUGUGUCACCUUUAAGAUCUGUUGUGACCCACAUGUCAUGUUAUACUCUGCUGACUUUGUGUGUGUAUAUAUACACACUCACACACAUGCACAUGCAUACAUAUGGCUACCAAAAUAAAACAUUUGUCUGAAAAGGAAAAAAUAAAAGACUCAAAUGUGGUUUUCAGCUUCUCUAUGGAAAACUCACUUGUAUAAAAGAGUAUAGGGAUUCAUUCAUAACAGCAGACAAUAGCCAAUCAUUCUAUUCUCUGCUUAUUUAACAUCUUCAGUGCUAUUAACAUAACAUUGCUGAAAAGGCAGUAUAAUCACUCAUUAUUAUUCUGAAUGUUUUUCUUGUUCAUGUCGUGUAUACAUUUGGUUAUGUACAGAAAAGCCAGCAACUUACUAAAACCUCUUUCGUUACCAUUACCUUUUCCAUUCCCAUGUAUAUUGCUAUACAGAUAUUAAAUUUGCCAAAGAGGGAAAACAAACCUGUCAAGGCUUAUGACGGCAUUAUCGUGUCUGAAGAUGUUUAUUAAGAAAGAAAUCCAAUUAAAUUAUGAGAAUUUCAAUCCUUAGCUUUGAACUACAGUUUAAUGCCCACCCAACUGUGGAUCCAUAGGAUAUGGCACAAACAUAAUACAGUGCAGAUGCUGCUCUGUUGUCGAAAGGAGAUCCCCAGACAGCAUUUACCUCUGAGAGAUUCUCUAAUAUGCCAACAGAAAACUCUGCUGCCAAUAGUAAUGAAGGUCUUUCUCCUAGGAUAGUGAAUGUCAAGUUAGGGUGCAUCUAUACCAGGGGUUCCCAAACUAAGGCCCGGGGGCCGGAUGCGGCCCAUCGAAGCCAUUUAUCCGGCCCCCAUGGCACAAGGGCAAAAGGGGGUUGGGCUAAAUGACCCAAGGGGUCUCUUCUUCUCUUCCAACCCCCCCUUCCUCCUCCUCCUCCUCCUCCUCCUUCACAUUGAGGCUGGGUGGCCAUCUGUCAGGGGUGCUUUGCUUGUGCUUUUGGUGCACAGAGGCAGAAGGGGAUUGGACUAAAUGUCCCAAGGGGUCUCUUCCAACCCUUAUUAUUAUUAUUAUUAUUAUUAUUAUUAUUAUUAUUAUUAUUAUUAUUAACAUUGAGGCUGGGUGGCCAUCUGUCAGGGGUGCUUUGCUUGUGCUUUUGGUGCACAAAGGCAGAAGGGGAUUGGACUAAAUGUCCCAAGAGGUCUCUUCCAACCCUCUUUAUUAUUAUUAUUAUUAUUAUUAUUAUUAUUAUUAUUAUUAUUUUAUUAUGUUAUUAUUUUUUUAUUAUUAUUUUAUUAUGUCACAGCAAACAAGAUAGAUAUGCUGGAUUUCGUAUCUCAAAAUCACAAGUCGAACACUUCUCAAGUGUCUAGGACGGUGUGAUUUAUUUUCGGAUGAUGCGCGCAGAUCCCAGUAGGUGGCCUUUUGCAGCUGGCAGAUCGUAAUUUUAUUACUAUUAUUAUUAUUAACAUUGAGGCUGGGUGGCCAUCUGUCAGGGGUGCUUUGCUUGUGCUUUCGGUGCACAAAGGCAGAAGGGGAUUGGACUCAAUGGCCCAAAGGGUCUCUUCCAACCCUCUUUUUUAUUGUUGUUGUUGUUGUUAUUAUUGCUCAGUGGCCAACUAUAGUCCGGCCCUCCAAUGGUCCGAAGGAUCGUGAACUGGCCCCCUGUUUAAAAAGUUUGGGGACCCCUGAUCUGUACCAUAGAAUUAAUGCAGUUUGACACCACAUGGAUCAAUGCUAGGAAAUCCUGGAAGCUGUAGUUUUACAAGGUCUUUAGCCUCCUUUGCCAAAGAGUACUGGUGCUUCAUCAAACUACAGCCACUCAUAUUGAGCCAUGGCAGGUAAAGUGGUGCCAAACUGCAUUAAUUCUACAGUGUAGAUGGACUCAUAAUUUUCUCCUCGUAAUGCCAAUACUCACUGGAUCAAUUUGUAUUGAGUGCGUUCCAUUGGAGGAAAAGAAAAGCAGAAGAAACUUUCAAUCUUGGCAUUGGAAAACUACCAUGUUUAAUCAAUUCUAGGAUGCCAUUGAUUCUAAGGGAGCCCCCGGUGGCGCAGUAUGUUAAAGCACUGAGCUGCUGAACUUGCAGACCAAAAGAUCACAGGUUCGAAUCCGGGGAGUGGAGUGAGUGCCUGCUAUUCGCUCCAGCUUCUGCCAACCUAGCAGUUUGAAAACAUGCAAAAUGUGAGUAGAUCAAUAGGUACCUCUCCGUCAGGAAGGUAACGGCGCUGCAUGCAGUCAUGCCAGCCACAUGACCUUGGAGGUGUUUACGGACAACGCCGGCUCUUCGGCUUAGAAAUGGAGAUGAGCACCAACCCCCAGAGUCGGACACGACUGGACUUAAUGUCAGGGGAAACACCAAACUAAAACACCAAUUUCAGUAUCACAAACAGGAAAAAAAUAUUUAUAUAUAUAGAAAGCACCUGUGAUUCUAAGAAGCAUCUUGGUUUUCAAAAUGUUUAUAUAGGUGGAAAGUGUUACCUUAGAAUUGAUGAAAUACAGUAAUUGUGUUUUACCACCAUGGAGUUCUCUCACAGACGCCCACAUAGGAUUGUUCUGCCAAUUUUUUAGUCUUUAAAAUGCCCAAAGACAUCAACAUUUGUUCUGCGGCAACCACCGUGGAAACUCAAUUGAGCUAGAUGCAGUUUAGAGAGGGUAGCUUCACAGUACAUUCUGCGUAGGUGGGGAGAAAUCAACCAAACAGUACCGCUGUGUCUUCUUUGUCCAUUAUGUGCUGGAUUCGUGGGUUCACAACUUUCUUAGAAACGUAUGUGAAAAUAUUUAUAACAUGUAGCCCUUGAGUCCACAGUGUCUUAAGUUAGGCAGUCUUCCAAACUCAAGGUACAUGCCUUCCAUCCUUUGGAGAUUUUGCAUACUGUUAACCUUAGUUAACAUGAUGCAAAUAAAUCCAUGGUGGGGAUAGUGUGGUCUUCCAGAGUGGCUCACAUUGCCAUGCCCCUCCUAGCAUUCUAAUGCUCUUAUGUCAAGCCACUUUGAGUCCCCUUUGGAGAGAUAAAACGAGGUAUUAUUAUUAUUAUUAUUAUUAUUAUUAUUAAAGUAAAGUCAGGUAUUUAGGACCACGUUAGGGAAUAAAUCCCACAUUAUUUACCAUGUUAUUCCAGAUCCUGACUGAAGGAUAAACUACCAUCUCCUCGUGUAUGUGUUUUAGGAGUGGGGAUUGUGUGACUUUCCAGAUGUUAUUGAAUUUUCAACUCCUAGCAUUCCUGCCAUUGGCUAUGAUGCCUAAAGCUGCUGGAAAUUCAUUGUGGGACUGAAACUCGGAGCAGCCUUAGGCCAGUGGUGAGGAAAGCUAGGAGCUGCAAUUAUAUAUCAUUUUAAACUGAUGUUAGGUGUUUUUAACUGGUACUUGUUUUUAAUCUGCUGUUGUUGCCCACUUAAAUCAAUGAGGACAGCAGGCAGGAUGAUAUUAUUAUUAUUAUUAUUAUUAUUAUUAUUAUUAUUAUCAUUAUUAUUAUUCCAAGACUAUCUGGGGGCUCAAAGUUGUCCACACCUGCGCUAAGAGAUGGUCUUGAAACAUUCCUCUUCCUCUGGGAAAGCUCACCACAAAAGUUUUGUGUUUCCAAAAAUUUACUGCAGCUGUGUUCCCAAGCUUAUUUGUUUGAAAAUAAGUUCUUGCUAGAUCAGCACUUAGGGUAUUUAACUGUUGAUUUGCUUUGGUGUAUAUUCCACCUUUUUCCCAAAGUGGAAACCAAAGCAGCAAGACUUUUGCAAAUCAAGUGAAUAAGUAGCUGCUUGUUUUGUAUUAACUGUUGGAAUUGGUUAACACGGAGAAAAGAGAAGAUGCAAAACAAAUGGAAAAUCAUGCAGCCUUGAAGACAAUGCUUGUUUUCCCCUCCCAGCAUUCUUCCUCCUUAUAUAUGCUGGUUAUGGUUGGUGGCAUAUGCAGUCCAGCAGCAUCUGGAAGCAUAUUCAGACCCCUUUCCUAUUUCAGAAUAUGGGCCAAAAUAAGUACCAUAUUGAGCAAGAGCAUUCAGUUCAAAAUUACCCCAAGUAAACGUACUAGGAAACAUAAAAAUCACUCCCAAGUACUUUGAAGACUAACAAGUUGAAGCAGUAAUUGCACAGACAUGCCAGUGGAGGAUCCUAACAAUUUGUUCUGACCUCAAAUGUGGUUCAGCUAAAAAUAGUUUUCUUUUAAAAUUCAAGGAUGAGAAAGUGAAACAUCAAAUUCAGAUCAGCUGAGCAACCAUUAAACACAAGAAAUGUAAGAACUUGAAAAAUGGGAAGGGGGGGGGUGACAGUUACGGCAGCUGGCUAACCAAGAAUAAAAAAUGAAUCAUCAGACAUACUAUUUAUAAUGACUAAUAGCAAUGCAAUUAGACAACAGCAAUACAGUCAUGCAAACAUGCCUGGCAACAUUUGGGCCAAGUUCAUUAUAACUUCAUAUAGAUUGAGUAUCCCUUGUCCAAAAUGCUUUGGACCAGAAUACCCUUAUUUGCAUAUAUGUACAGAGUGAAAUGUCUUGGAGAUGGUACCCAAGCCAUUCAUGUUUCAUAUGGAUCUUUUUUUACUCUUAGCCUAAAGAUUAUUAUAUAAACUAUAUUUUUUUUAAAAAAAAUUGCACAUGAAGAAAAGUUUGUGUACAUUGAACUAUCAGAAAGCAAAGGUCUCACCAUCUCAGCCACCCGUGUAGGCAGAUUCAUAUUCUAGAAUAAUUCAAGAUUCUGGAUAAAAGAUGCUCAACCUAUAUUUCAAACACAAUGGCUUCCAAAUUCUUCCAUACCAUUUGGAAUGCAGUCACUCAAAUAUAAUUCCAUUUAGCUGAAUGAGAUUUUGGGUGCAUCUGAACUGGGGAUUUGAUGUGGAAUUAUCAUCCUUUGUGCACAUGUUUCUUAAAAGGCACCCAUAUAGAACUUGUGAUCUUUAAAAACUCUUAUUAGAGUUCCAGCAGAGGUUUUUAUCAUCAGCAUGUGAAGGGAUGAAAAGAAGCAAGGCAGACACAAGAGAGCUGGGUUUUGACUUGGCAGAUGCAGCCUCCACUCCCAGCUCUGCCUUCUCCCUUCUCUUUUGGCAUUAAACUUUUAAAGGGUUUUAUUUUCACCAAAAGAGGCUUUUUAAAAGCAUAGUUGCUACUUGGAGGCCAGAACCAAGCAUGGAGAUCCUGAGGGCUGCGUCCAGCCCUGAUAUAUAGUUCCAUUUUUAACAGCUAUUGAGUCUUUCAGUUUGUCCAUUAAAACUUCAAUCAAGCCUUUAAAACUGGAUUUUGAGACUUCAGCUUUUAACCACUUCCUUACAAAACAUUGCCUAAUUUUAGUGAGAUAGGCUUGAAAUUUGUCCUCUGCACCUUAAAAGUGCUGAACUAUAUUCCUGCAGGAUUACCAGCUUUUCAGGAUGGUCAUUGUAUCUAUGCCCUUAACAGCAGCCUGAUACUCAGGCAAUAAUGUUUAUGUCCAAACUGUGAAAACUUCUGUGGAUAGAAAUCUGUUUCAUAUUUGAACAUCGUAAUGUAAAUCCCUGGGAUUUAAAAGUCGACCUUACUGCUGAAAUCAGCAGCUGAAACCUUUAACAGCCUGAAUGUAAAUAUUAUUGCUUUCUACUAUUUGCACACAAAGCUUCUGUUAGAUACUACUCCAGUAAGUCCACUGCAUCCACAUUCAACCAUGCACGGCUUUAAAAAACAAACCAACCCAAAAGCAAACCUUGAUUUUGCCAUUUGAUAAAAUCAAUACCAUUUUACCACAACAUUGAAUAUAAUGGGAUUAAAGCAUCUAUGGAUUUUUGUACUCAUUGGUGACCUUGGAACCAAAUUGCAGCGGAACGUGUUGGCCCACUGUACUUCAUUCCGAAUCCAUCCUACCUUAUAAAGCCACUUGGCUAUGACAAGUAGAAUAGCAUUUAUGGGGAUAUGUUUCCAUGUAUACUUGGAUAUAUUCUGGCAAUGUCUGUUGUAAACACCAGUGGCAAAUCCAAAGUAGCCCAAUAUGACUUCACAAGCUCUGCCAAACACAGCUGGAAUGUGUUUGGCAAAAGGAAAUGUCCAGAGUGAGAGAACCUGGGGAGAAACUUAUUUUCUUUCCUUGCAAAAAUGGAUUGAGACAUGAAAAUUACAUUCCUCAGUGUGUGGAGACCUGGCUAUCCGAAAUUUAACUGGGAAAGGGCAAAAUAAAAGAAAACAUAUGUGCAUUUUCUAAAUUGUUUAUUUGUUCAUUUGAUUUAUAUCCCACUUUUCUCCCAGUAUGGGUCCACAAAGCACAACACAACUUUAUAUUAGAAAAUGUAGAGAGCCAAAGCAAGUGUUUUUAAUAAGGACUGCAGUUUUGGAACCAUUUUUUUCUGAUUAGUGUGAUUUCUUCCACAUUUUGUAUUGUUUUCAGGCAUAGUAUAAUUCCACUUUUCACAGAAGUUGAACUUAUCCAACAUCUACACACAGUAAUACAAUUCCAUUUAAAGCUACAGAGUAGAAGCAUUGUAAUUAUUUCAGCAACAAAACCAGUUAAUAUGUUAAUUCCUUUUUCCAAGAUCCACAUCUUAAAAUUCAGUUACAUCUUCUCCCCUUUUUAAUAGUCUCCCAGAGGGAACAUAUUUCUGUGUUCAAGCACAGAUUUUUACAUGCAAAAUGUUAUGGUUGAGCCUUCUGGCUCCGAUACUAGGAGACGAGGUCGUAAGACUCCUCGAGAGUCAGACUCUUUUGAGGAGCGCGAAAGGAAACGGCUCCGAGACUUAUUUGCAGAACCAACAGACGAAGACUCCUUUGAGGGUUUUACCAAGGGAAUGGAGGAAGAGAUGGUUAGCUCAGAGGAGGAUGAUAUGGAAUGGACUCGUGGGAGGGAGGAUUUGGGUGUCACCGGCAAUGAUAGCAUGGGAGGCGACUGGCGGGUUGCAGGAUCGGACCCAUGGACGGGCUGGAGGGAUGGAGCAGGAUCCACAGCUGGGGAUGCUGUGGGGCGUAGUCAAAGGUGUUUUAGCUCUGAUGAGGAUGAUGAUGAGGAGGCACCUGGAAUUAGGAUAGCAGCUGACAGCGAUGAGGAGUUAUGAACUGGCAUAAAAUGGGGUUUAGGAUCAAUGGCUAAUUGCGUUGGGCAAGGUAAUCUGGACGAACGCUUGGGCUCUUGUUGGGGAACUUCCUGAAGACGGGUGUGAUUCGUUGCUGGAUA
Long non-coding RNA from Anolis carolinensis (green anole), 8218 nucleotides. RefSeq lists it as uncharacterized. The transcript is spliced from 2 exons. Lineage: Eukaryota; Metazoa; Chordata; Lepidosauria; Squamata; Anolidae. The record is from RefSeq and is a predicted model, not a curated record.